This is a non-coding RNA of Gopherus flavomarginatus (Mexican gopher tortoise), 73 nucleotides long. NCBI's taxonomy places the organism in Eukaryota, Metazoa, Chordata, Testudines, Testudinidae. The record is from the annotation of a RefSeq genome assembly.
GCCAGAGUAGCUCAGUUGGGAGAGUGUUAGACCGAAGCUCUAAAGGUACCUGGUUCAAUCCCUGGCUUUGGCA